CUGCCCUCCCCUGGCACCUGCACCUGUGCCCUGCCCCCCAGGGACCCACGGAAACAGCAGCCUGGCAAAGCAGCCCGAGGAAUGCCAUGCCUGCCCUGCUGGCUCCUUCAACCACCUCUAUGCUCAGACAGGGUGCUUCCCCUGCGGCAGCUCUUCCUCCUCACAGCCAGGGGCUAGCAGCUGUAGCUGUCAUGGGCUGAACCGGGCUUUUCAGGAGUCAGAUGGCUCUUGUAUCUGCCAAGCAGGGUAUGUUUACUAUGACGAGAGAGGCAAGAAAAAUUCUGACACCAACAGUGACCAAGACUGCCAACCUCAAGUGGAGGAGCGCUGUGCUCCUGGGGAAGUCCGUCUGGCAUCCACACGCAAAUGCAUUUCUCCCGAACUAUACGACUGUUCUGCGUUCUGUGGUGCGCUGGGCGGAGAACUGAGUGCAGAGUUGGGCAUGUGUCGCUGUGAGCAGUACAUCUCCGCUGAAGAGCUGUGUGACCGAGAGUGCUUGCUGAACACCCCACAGAUCUCUCUGAGCCUUGGCAUCCAUUCAGAGCUCCUACUGAGUGUUGGGGAAGGAGAGGACAGAGUGAGUUGAGACAGGCUGGGCCCUGCUCCCCAGGUGAUGUGAGGCUGGAGAAAGCUCAUAGAUUGCAGCCAGAUAAGAGGAUUGUGCUGGGUUCGAAGGUAGGGUGUUGGUGCGAUGUGGAGGAGCCAGACUGUGCACAGAAAGAAGGGAGUGGCUCCGUACUGUACAGAGGACGUGGAAUAUGGAGAAGGUG
RNAcentral lists this long non-coding RNA (770 nucleotides) under Gopherus agassizii (Agassiz's desert tortoise). RNAcentral's name for it is "lncRNA (ENSGAGG00000017172.1)". Lineage: Eukaryota; Metazoa; Chordata; Testudines; Testudinidae. The record is from RNAcentral.